This is a long non-coding RNA of Cherax quadricarinatus, 2702 nucleotides long. RefSeq lists it as uncharacterized. Lineage: Eukaryota; Metazoa; Arthropoda; Malacostraca; Decapoda; Parastacidae. The record is from RefSeq and is a predicted model, not a curated record.
UUAUUUGAGAAAAACUCACUACACGUCUUGUAUUUUUUAAGAGUACAUUUAAUAUUUAACGAGAACAGUGCUAAUUUAUGUCGUAUAGUGAGCACAGGUUUUUUAAUUAACGUGAGUCGACAGAGGUGGACAAACACACACAGGGACGACUGAAGACUUUGCAAUCCUGGGAUAACAAUCCUGGGAUAACAGUCCUGGGAUAACAGUCCUGGGAUAACAGUCCUGGGAUAACAGUCCUGGGAUAACAGUCCUGGGAUAACAAUCCUGGGAUAACAAUCCUGGGAUAACAAUCCUGGGAUAAUCCUGGGAUAACAAUCCUGGGAUAACAAUCGCAAUGGAAAUAAAGUUUAGACUGACAAGAAAAUUAGUGAGAAUGUGAAUUUGAAAUAAAUGUUGGAAGAGAAUAUAGAGAUAAAAAGCGCAGUAAGGAAGCUUAAGAAGAGAAAAGGAGAAGAAAUGGCGAAGAGAAGAAUAAGAAAGAAGAUGAACAGAGAGAGAAAUUAGGGAGAGGGAGAAAGAGAUGUAAAAUGAUAUCUUCAGGCGACGAAAUGACAAGGACACAGUGAAGGAGGAGAUGCAGGCAUGAAAUAGAUGGUAAAUGUAUGAUAAGUAGCGGUAACUGUUGCUGGUGUUGGUGAAGAUAAAAAAACACACACAAACACACACACACAACACACACACACACACACACACACACACACACACACACACACACACACACACUUAAACCCCUCCUUCAUAAUAAGCAGUGACCAGCUAUGACGCAGCGAUAACAGCACCGUCCCACGAUUGGCUACUGAUGACAAGAGUCAACCAGGCUAUUGGUGGAAACUUGCCUUGGACGACCUUCACGUCCAUUACCGCCUUCUCCAGCUCAUGUACUUAUAUAAGCCAGGUGAAACUACUAAAACUAUAAGCAGGUUAAGUGUAACCAGCAAGUGUAGCAGGUAGCUAGCAUGGACCCGUCUGCACCAUGGCCUUGGGUGUUUAUAUCUCUCCCUGAGGAGGCAAUAGAGGCUUAAAUUAUUUCUUGAUUCCCGACUGAAAGGUAUAGUUUUGGACCUGCAAGAAUCUGUGAUUUAGUGACGCAUGGGUGGGCGUCAGGCAUGUCAGUGGGCGUCAGCAUGUCAGUGGACGUCAGGCAUGUCAGUGGACGUCAGGCAUGUCAGACAGCGUCAGGCAUGUCACAACACCACCUGAAAUGUUUUGAGGACAGAAGGAUACUCUGUUACCACCAGGGAUGUUAUGGGAUUGCGAAGAAGGCCUUCGUACCAUCAGGGAUGUCAUAUCAGCCCUAGAAAUGCCAUAACACCACCAGGAAUACCCACUCACUUCAGGAACUGCCCUAUCGUCACCUUGACUACCUCGACUUAUCCAAACAUGCUACCAUACCUACAAGGAGGGAUAACUUCGCUGGUGUAUCAGGCAGCAUCACUCUCCUUGACUACAUCACCUGGCUAUCCUGGAGUUUUCGAUCUCUGAGUCUAUAUUAUCUAAUACGUACGAGCAGUUCUCAAUUAUACCAGUUGAAUCAAAUUUCUUAAUUCAUUUGAAACAUAUUUUUCCAAAGCAAAUGUUAAUUUCUCGAGAUUUAAACUUGUCUUCAUUCUACAUGACACAAUUCUUUAUUGACAAUUAACAUUCCAGAUGUUUUAUAAAGGUUUAACUAGCAAUGUUUUACACAUCUCUUGCUCUUAGUAAACUCAUCUUAAAUAAUUUCGCUAAACAACCGUAGUCAUUUUAAAUAAUUUCGCUAAAAGAAAGUAUUUUCUGUAAUAAUAAGUUAAUGGAGCUUAAAUCUUCUGUCGAUUACAGAUUUAUUAUAUCGUAUAUAAUACAUUUUAUUGAAUUAUGCCAUUUUUGUAACAUUAUAUCCAUUCGCUGAUGUAUAUAGAGGGUACAAUACUACAGUAUACCCUGCUUUAUACAGUAUGCACCAUAUUUAUACCAACAGUUUACUGCGCCAAUUCACAGGCGGGAAACAGAUAUACUCACUAAUUUACCGCAGUAAUUCAGACUGUGAUCAGCAUGGCGCUGAAGAAUUCUUUCGAUAUAUAUUUUUUAUCCCAUUUUUUAGAUUUUCUUACCUUACCGAGGUAAACUUUCCGUAAAAUAUUCACUUUGUUCUUUAAUUUUCGAGUCGAAUUUUGUAUAUUGUUACAUUGUAGACUUAGAGAAAUUUAUUGACGAUAAAAUCAUUUAUUUUUAUAAAUACUAGAAAAAUAAAUCUGGUAUAUUUAAUAAAAUAUUAGAGAUAAUGUGAUAUCAAGGUCAGUUUUAAGAAGAUAUAUCAAGAUCAACUUUCUGAAGCUUCGAAUUACUAAAAAUUUUAUCAUCAAUAAAUUUCAUAUUUCAUAAGUUUAUUUUAUAAGAUUUAAAAUUUGUGGUACUGUAUCCAAUAUUUUAAUUAUAAGUAAAUAUGUUUCACACUUGAAAUACAAUGUAUAACACAGUCAUCAUAUUAGUAACACAAUGAAUCAUACAUUAAACACAGUGUAACAAACAAACAACACAUAAAUCAUGUUUGUAACACAAUGUUUCACAGCAGCAACACAAUAAGUAACUUGCAACAACCUCUUUGUUGCAAAUAUUAAUAAUUUGAUCCAUGUAUUUAUGGAGCCUAAAGAAUAAUUCGAAUAAUAUUUUAUUUUUCGCUUCUAGAUGUCUUUUUAUUUUUUGUAUAAAGUAUUAUUAAAAAUAUA